Molecule: ribosomal RNA, 447 nt
Filed under: uncultured bacterium
Lineage: Bacteria
Description: bacterial SSU rRNA
Rfam family: Bacterial small subunit ribosomal RNA
Source: RNAcentral
UGGGGAAUAUUGGACAAUGGGCGCAAGCCUGAUCCAGCCAUGCCGCGUGAACGAUGAAGGCCUUAGGGUUGUAAAGUUCUUUUGUCAGGGAAGAUAAUGACGGUACCUGAAGAAUAAGCACCGGCUAACUUCGUGCCAGCAGCCGCGGUAAUACGAAGGGUGCUAGCGUUGUUCGGAAUCACUGGGCGUAAAGCGCGCGUAGGCGGCUUAACAAGUCAGAGGUGAAAGCCUGGAGCUCAACUCCAGAACUGCCUUUGAAACUGUUAAGCUUGAGUGUCGGAGGGGAUAGCGGAAUUUCUAAUGUAGAGGUGAAAUUCGUAGAUAUUAGAAGGAACACCGGUGGCGAAGGCGGCUAUCUGGACGACAACUGACGCUGAGGCGCGAAAGCGUGGGGAUCAAACAGGAUUAGAUACCCCGGUAGUCCCUGAGCGGGCUGGCAAGGCGCAU